AACCGAGCUUCGACCGUGACCCCAGGUCAGACGGGAUCACCCGCUGAGUUUAAGCAUAUC
Molecule: ribosomal RNA, 60 nt
Filed under: Euphrasia borneensis
Lineage: Eukaryota; Viridiplantae; Streptophyta; Magnoliopsida; Lamiales; Orobanchaceae
Description: partial 26S ribosomal RNA
Source: RNAcentral